ACCUGCCCCUCACUUCGGGAUAACCUCGGGAAAUCGUGGCUAAUACCGGAUAUGAACUUCUACCGCAUGGUGGUUGUUGGAAAGUUUUUCGGUGAGGGAUGGACUCGCGGCCUAUCAGUUUGUUGGGGAGGUAAUGGCUCACCAAGACGAUGACGGGUAGCCGGCCUGAGAGGGCGACCGGCCACACUGGGACUGAGACACGGCCCAGACUCCUACGGGAGGCAGCAGUGGGGAAUAUUGCACAAUGGGCGAAAGCCUGAUGCAGCGACGCAGCGUGAGGGAUGACUGCCUUCGGGUUGUAAACCUCUUUCAGUAGGGAAGAAGCGAAAGUGACGGUACCUGCAGAAGAAGCGCCGGCUAACUACGUGCCAGCAGCCGCGGUAAUACGUAGGGCGCAASSGUUAUCCGGAAUUAUUGGGCGUAAAGAGCUUGUAGGUGGCUUG
RNAcentral lists this ribosomal RNA (443 nucleotides) under bacterium LF1-56A. Its description in RNAcentral is "bacterial SSU rRNA". It matches the Rfam family "Bacterial small subunit ribosomal RNA", at positions 124 to 582 of the family's 1533-position model. The record is from RNAcentral.